GUCCUCUUCAAUUUGCUUCUGCUCUCUCUUGAGCUUUUUCCUAUCUUGCCAGUUUAACACCUUACGUUUCUUGUUCGCAACUUCAGGCUUAUUUGAUGCCGUUUUAGAGGGAAAAGAAGAAGCUCCAGGAGGAAGAAAGUGAGAAAGGUCUCCCAUGUAAUCAUCUUCUUCAUUUUCCGCCAUUGUUGCUAACUGCAAGCUACGGAAUCGGAUGCUUCUAAAUUGUUGAAAUAUAUUCCCCUUCCUUCAAACUUUUUUUUU
RNAcentral lists this unclassified non-coding RNA (261 nucleotides) under Hevea brasiliensis (rubber tree). Lineage: Eukaryota; Viridiplantae; Streptophyta; Magnoliopsida; Malpighiales; Euphorbiaceae. The record is from RNAcentral.